UGAAUUUUAAUGAAGAGUUUGGUUGUAGCUGGCCCAUUCAUUUGGGCAUGUGCACACCUUCCUCUUUCAUCCCACACACACCUGUGAACCUGUGAGACAGAGAUGGGGAAUUUACUUGCUGCUUUUGUGAAUAUCAAAGGCAAUAGGUUAUUGGACCCCCCCUCUGUCUACUCAAUUAAUAUAAACUCAAUUUAUUUUUAAAACGAAUGUAAUGGAUGUAACACAUCUCAUAC
RNAcentral lists this unclassified non-coding RNA (233 nucleotides) under soil metagenome. RNAcentral's name for it is "partial internal transcribed spacer 1". The record is from RNAcentral.